This 253-nucleotide ribosomal RNA is filed under the name uncultured bacterium. Its description in RNAcentral is "partial 16S ribosomal RNA". It matches the Rfam family "Bacterial small subunit ribosomal RNA", at positions 524 to 776 of the family's 1533-position model. The record is from RNAcentral.
UACGUAGGGGGCAAGCGUUAUCCGGAUUUACUGGGUGUAAAGGGAGCGUAGACGGCGAUGCAAGUCUGAAGUGAAAGGCGGGGGCCCAACCCCCGGACUGCUUUGGAAACUGUAUGGCUGGAGUGCAGGAGUGGUAAGUGGAAUUCCUAGUGUAGCGGUGAAAUGCGUAAAUAUUAGGAGGAACACCAGUGGCGAAGGCGGCUUACUGGACUGUAACUGACGUUGAGGCUCGAAAGCGUGGGGAGCAAACAGG